UACGGAGGGUGCGGGCGUUAAUCGGAAUUACUGGGCGUAAAGCGUGCGCAGGCGGCCUCUUAAGUCAGAUGUGAAAUCCCCGGGCUUAACCUGGGAACUGCGUUUGAAACUGGGAGGCUAGAGUGUGGAAGAGGGGGGUGGAAUUCCAGGUGUAGCAGUGAAAUGCGUAGAGAUCUGGAGGAACACCGAUGGCGAAGGCAGCCCCCUGGGCUGACACUGACGCUCAUGCACGAAAGCGUGGGGAGCAAACAGG
This 253-nucleotide ribosomal RNA is filed under the name uncultured bacterium. RNAcentral describes it as "partial 16S ribosomal RNA". It matches the Rfam family "Bacterial small subunit ribosomal RNA", at positions 524 to 776 of the family's 1533-position model. The record is from RNAcentral.